RNAcentral lists this ribosomal RNA (559 nucleotides) under Trichoderma harzianum. RNAcentral describes it as "eukaryotic LSU rRNA". The stretch from base 172 to 325 matches the Rfam family "5.8S ribosomal RNA". Lineage: Eukaryota; Fungi; Ascomycota; Sordariomycetes; Hypocreales; Hypocreaceae. The record is from RNAcentral.
AACGUUACCAAACUGUUGCCUCGGCGGGAUCUCUGCCCCGGGUGCGUCGCAGCCCCGGACCAAGGCGCCCGCCGGAGGACCAACCAAAACUCUUUUUGUAUACCCCCUCGCGGGUUUUUUAUAAUCUGAGCCUUCUCGGCGCCUCUCGUAGGCGUUUCGAAAAUGAAUCAAAACUUUCAACAACGGAUCUCUUGGUUCUGGCAUCGAUGAAGAACGCAGCGAAAUGCGAUAAGUAAUGUGAAUUGCAGAAUUCAGUGAAUCAUCGAAUCUUUGAACGCACAUUGCGCCCGCCAGUAUUCUGGCGGGCAUGCCUGUCCGAGCGUCAUUUCAACCCUCGAACCCCUCCGGGGGGUCGGCGUUGGGGAUCGGCCCUGCCUCUUGGCGGUGGCCGUCUCCGAAAUACAGUGGCGGUCUCGCCGCAGCCUCUCCUGCGCAGUAGUUUGCACACUCGCAUCGGGAGCGCGGCGCGUCCACAGCCGUUAAACACCCAACUUCUGAAAUGUUGACCUCGGAUCAGGUAGGAAUACCCGCUGAACUUAAGCAUAUCAAUAAGCGGAGG